Molecule: ribosomal RNA, 495 nt
Filed under: uncultured bacterium
Lineage: Bacteria
Description: partial 16S ribosomal RNA
Rfam family: Bacterial small subunit ribosomal RNA
Source: RNAcentral
GACGAACGCUGGCGGCGUGCCUAAUACAUGCAAGUAGAACGCUGAAGGAGGAGCUUGCUUCUCUGGAUGAGUUGCGAACGGGUGAGUAACGCGUAGGUAACCUGUCUGGUAGCGGGGGAUAACUAUUGGAGACGAUAGCUAAUACCGCAUAACAGCAGAUAUCGCAUGAUAUCUACUUGAAAGGUGCAAUUGCAUCACUACCAGAUGGACCUGCGUUGUAUUAGCUAGUUGGUGAGGUAACGGCUCACCAAGGCGACGAUACAUAGCCUACCUGGGAGGGUGAUCGGCCACACUGGGACUGAAGCACGGCCCAGAAGCCUACGGGAGGCAGCAGUAGGGAAUCUUCGGCAAUGGGCGGAAGUCUGACCGAGCAACGCCGCAUGAGUGAAGAAGGUUUUCGGAUCGUAAAGCUCUGUUGUAAGAGAAGAACGAGUGUGAGAGUGGAAAGUUCACACUGUGACGGUAUCUUACCAGAAAGGGACGGCUAACUACGUG